RNAcentral lists this ribosomal RNA (497 nucleotides) under uncultured bacterium. RNAcentral describes it as "partial 16S ribosomal RNA". It matches the Rfam family "Bacterial small subunit ribosomal RNA", at positions 28 to 507 of the family's 1533-position model. The record is from RNAcentral.
GAUGAACGCUGGCGGCGUGCCUAAUACAUGCAAGUAGAACGCUGAAGCUUGGUGCUUGCACCGAGCGGAUGAGUUGCGAACGGGUGAGUAACGCGUAGGUAACCUGCCUCUUAGCGGGGGAUAACUAUUGGAAACGAUAGCUAAUACCGCAUAAAAGUCGAUAUCGCAUGAUAUUGAUUUGAAAGGUGCAAAUGCAUCACUAAGAGAUGGACCUGCGUUGUAUUAGCUAGUUGGUGAGGUAACGGCUCACCGAGGCGACGAUACAUAGCCGACCUGAGAGGGUGAUCGGCCACACUGGGACUGAGACACGGCCCAGACUCCUACGGGAGGCAGCAGUAGGGAAUCUUCGGCAAUGGGGGCAACCCUGACCGAGCAACGCCGCGUGAGUGAAGAAGGUUUUCGGAUCGUAAAGCUCUGUUGUAAGAGAAGAACGAGUGUGAGAGUGGAAAGUUCACACUGUGACGGUAACUUACCAGAAAGGGACGGCUAACUACGUG